RNAcentral lists this ribosomal RNA (471 nucleotides) under Pseudomonas aeruginosa. RNAcentral describes it as "bacterial SSU rRNA". It matches the Rfam family "Bacterial small subunit ribosomal RNA", at positions 30 to 495 of the family's 1533-position model. Lineage: Bacteria; Pseudomonadati; Pseudomonadota; Gammaproteobacteria; Pseudomonadales; Pseudomonadaceae. The record is from RNAcentral.
AUUGAACGCUGGCGGCAGGCCUAACACAUGCAAGUCGAGCGGAUGAAGGGAGCUUGCUCCUGGAUUCAGCGGCGGACGGGUGAGUAAUGCCUAGGAAUCUGCCUGGUAGUGGGGGAUAACGUCCGGAAACGGGCGCUAAUACCGCAUACGUCCUGAGGGAGAAAGUGGGGGAUCUUCGGACCUCACGCUAUCAGAUGAGCCUAGGUCGGAUUAGCUAGUUGGUGGGGUAAAGGCCUACCAAGGCGACGAUCCGUAACUGGUCUGAGAGGAUGAUCAGUCACACUGGAACUGAGACACGGUCCAGACUCCUACGGGAGGCAGCAGUGGGGAAUAUUGGACAAUGGGCGAAAGCCUGAUCCAGCCAUGCCGCGUGUGUGAAGAAGGUCUUCGGAUUGUAAAGCACUUUAAGUUGGGAGGAAGGGCAGUAAGUUAAUACCUUGCUGUUUUGACGUACCAACAGAAUAAGCACCG